RNAcentral lists this long non-coding RNA (965 nucleotides) under Mytilus galloprovincialis (Mediterranean mussel). The record is from RNAcentral. Lineage: Eukaryota; Metazoa; Mollusca; Bivalvia; Mytilida; Mytilidae.
UUUCAUUUGUUAUCCACGUGUUUUCUGAUAGAUAACAAUCUCCGUUAAAAUGUUCCAGAAAAAUCAGCCAAAUUUUUGCAUCUUCUCUGAGAUCAUUAUUUAUUCUAAUUGAAUAAAAAGGCUUUUUAUUUUUUAUAGACCCUAUGACAUCAUAAAACCUUGACCACUACUGUCUUGAAUAUUACUAUUAGAUACAUUUAAGGACACAUUUGAGAUAGUAUUCACUGGUUGCAUAUAUAACAACCAAAGCUCAUUGUCUAUAUUACUCCAUAAACUGGAUGGUUCAUGAGCUUUUCUUAGUCUAUAUUGCUCAUCAUAAUUUUUCCAACCCAUACCUUGGUUUCUUUGAGCCCCAAGGCGUAUUGUGUGCAUGUAUUUUAACAAUUCCUUAAAUCGGUUUACGUGCACAGCACAAUAAAUAUAAAUAAAAAUGAUGAAAGCAUCUGUCCACUUUUCAAUAUUUGUAAUUUUUGAUUGUUGAGAAAUGGGUUGUAAAAUGAAUUCCCCUUGAGCCCAUGUCAACUUUUGUUUGUCAGAACCCGUGUUGACUGAAUUAUUUAAUAGACAAGCUAAAUCUAUGAAUUCCCCUUUCAAUAUUUUUUCUUUAAUUGACUGUGUUACAUUUAUGCCUAGAUUCUCAUGAACACUUUCAAUUCUAUUGGGAAUUUGUACAUAAUCAUUAUUGGUCACAUUACCUGUUUGUGACACAAACUGUGUGUUAUCAACAGUUGGCUGGAGGUCUAUUGCUCGUCUUGGUUGCCAUGGUAACAUGUCCGGAAUGUGGACGGAGUUGUCCUGAUUGCUAGAAAAUGUUGGCAUCAACAUUCUUGUCGUUGAUACUGUUGCAGUUGUUGGUAUGGCAGCGCCGUCAUGUCCAGAAGUUGUAUAGAUAGCCUCAGGCCUUGUAACCGUCAUAGAUGAUUGUACUGACGCCCGUGACGAAACUCCCUUCGACACCACCGGGU